UACGUAGGUGGCAAGCGUUGUCCGGAUUUACUGGGCGUAAAGAGCGCGCAGGCGGUCGUUCAAGUCGCGUGUGAAAGCCCACGGCUCAACCGUGGAGGGUCAUUGGAAACUGGGGGACUUGAGUGCAGAAGAGGAAAGCGGAAUUCCACGUGUAGCGGUGAAAUGCGUAGAGAUGUGGAGGAACACCAGUGGCGAAGGCGGCUUUCUGGUCUGUAACUGACGCUGAGGCGCGAAAGCGUGGGGAGCAAACAGG
Molecule: ribosomal RNA, 253 nt
Filed under: uncultured bacterium
Lineage: Bacteria
Description: partial 16S ribosomal RNA
Rfam family: Bacterial small subunit ribosomal RNA
Source: RNAcentral